This is a small nuclear RNA of Vombatus ursinus (common wombat), 103 nucleotides long. The record is from Ensembl. Lineage: Eukaryota; Metazoa; Chordata; Mammalia; Diprotodontia; Vombatidae.
GUGCUCAGCAGCACAUAUACUAAAAAUUGGAAUGAUACAGAGAAGAUUAGCAUGGCCCCUGCUCAAGAAUGACCUGCAAAUUUGUGAAGUGUUCCAUGUUUAA